UUUUUUUUUUUUUNUUUGGUCUUUUGUCCUUUUCAGGGCCGCACCCAAGGCAUAUGGAGGUUGCCAGGCUAGGAGUCUAAUUGGAGCUAUAGCCACCGGCCUACGCCAGAGCCACAGCAACGUCAGAUCUGAGCCACGUCUGCAACCUACAUUGGUAGCUCAUGCCAAUGCUGGAUCUUUAACCCACUGAGUGAGGCCAGGGAUCAAACCCGUAACCUCAUGGUUCCUAGUCGGAUUUGUUUCUGCUGCGCCACAGUGGGAACUCCUAUUUCUGUUUCAUAGAUAGGUUCAUCUGUGCCAUAUUUCAGAUUCCAAUAGAAGUGAUAUUAUAUGGAAUUGGUCUUUUUCUUUCUCAUUGACUUCACUCUUUCAUAUUGUUGGUUUUAAGUGUUCUUGGUAUAUUUUGGAUAACAGUUCUUUAUCAGAUGUAUCUUUUGCAAAUAUAUCAUCUCAGUCUGUAGCUUAUCUUUUUCUUUUUUCUUUUUCUUUUUUUUGGCUGAGCCUACAGCAUGUGGAAGUUCCUAGGCCAGGGAUCAAAGCCAUGCCAAGGCAGUGACCCAAGCCACUGUGACAAAGUCAGAUCUUUAACCCACUGCAUCAUAAGAGAACUCCUUAUCUAGGAACCAUGAGGAUGUGGGUUCGAUCCCUGGCCUCCCUCAGUGGGUUAAGGAUCCAGCGUUGCCGUGACCUGUGGUGUAGGUUGCAAACUUGGCUCAGAUCCCAAUUGCUGUGGCUGUGGCGCAGGCCGGUGGCUACAGCUCUGAUUGGACCCCUAGCCUGAGAACCUCCAAAUGCCUUGGGUGAGGCCCUACAAAGACAAAAAGUAAAAAAUAAAUAAAAUAAAAUAAAAAAGAGGGAUCAGCAAUGAGAUCCUGCCAUAUAGCACAGGGAACUAUAUCUAAUCACUUGUGAUAGAUCAUGAUGGAAGGUAAUGUGGAAAAAAGAAUGUAUAUACAUGUAUAACUGGGUCACUCUGCUGUACAGCAGAAAUUGACAGAACACUGUACAUCAACUAUUAAAAAAAAAAGAAGUAAAAAGAGGAGUUCCCAUUGUGGCUCUGUGGUAAUGACUAGUAUCCAUGAGGACUCAGGUUCCAUCCUAGGAACCUCCACAUGCCACAGGUGUGGCCCUGAAAAGACCAAACAACAGCCAAAAAAAGGAGGAAAAAAAAGGAAAAAGAAGCAGGUAACAUUAACUUUCAUAACAUUUUAAUUUUAUACAUAUAAAAUAUUAUUUCAUCAGGUGACCAAUAUAAACAAAUUAUUAGUGUGAUAUUUUACAUCCUUUACAAAAGUUUUUUACAUAUUUUACAUACACAUACUAUAUAUUUUUGAGACCCCGUGUGUAUGUUGCCUUCAGAAGCACAUCUCAGUUCAGACCAACCACAUUUCAAGUGCUCAGUGGAAACUUGUGGCUGCGUGUUGGACAACACAGAGGCAGAGCUUUCUGAGCAAAAGAACUGAACAAAUUCUUGAGUUUGAGGCACCCUUAGGAAGCAAGUGUGACCAGAAGGAAGUAAAAGAGGGUAGGACUGAUAAUAAGUGAAGUCAAAGAGAGAGCCAGGGCCUAGUGUUUUGGAUUUAAUUUGGCUUUUAUUCUAAACAUGAUGGAAAACUAUUGGACACUUUUAAGGCAAGAAAUGAUUUGCUCUAAUUUUUAAAAGAUGCUUUGGGGAGGUCCUGUCAUGGCUCAGUGGUUAACGAAUCCGACUAGGAAACAUGAGGUUGUGGGUUCAAUCCCUGGCCUUGCUCAGUGGGUUAAGGAUCCGGUGUUGCCGUGAGCUGUGGUGUAGGUCCCAGACGUGGCUUGGAUUCUGCGUUGCUGUGGCUGUGGUGUAGUCUGGCAGCUAUAGCUCUGAUUAGACCCCUAGCCUGGGAACCUCCAUACGCCACAGGAGCGGCCCCCAAAAAGGCAAAAAGACAAAAAAAAUAAAAGAUACUUUGGAGAGUCCUGUCAUGGCUCAGCAGGUUAAGGACCCCGUGUCGUCUCCAUGAGGAUGCAGGUUCCAUCCCUGACCUCGCUCAGUGGGUUAAGCAUCUGGUGUUGCCACAAGCUGCCAUGUAGGUCACAGAUGAGGCUUGGAUCUUGUAUGGCUGUGGCUGUGGUGUAGGCCAUCAGCUGCAGCUCCGAUUCAACCCUGUAGCUUCCAUAUGCUGCAGGUACGGCCAUUAAAAAAACAAAACAAACAAACCCUUUUGGCUGCUGCGUUGGAAACAGUCUGCAUGGAGGCCAGAGAGCAGCAGAAAGGUCCAGAUAGAAGCUAUGACGUUAGCAUGGGUGAGAGUUACAGGCAACUUGGACUUGAGUGGUCAUGGGUCAGGUGCUGAAAAGCAUUGGAAUUCCCAGUCGAUAUUCCCAGGCAGAGCCCGCGGGAGUUGCUGAUGGACUGGAUGUGACGUAUGAGAAAGAGGAAAGUCAGCCAUGACUCCAAGAGUCUUGUCCUGAGCAAAUGAUGUGGAGCCGGGGUUGGGGUAGGGCAUGGAAGUAGGUUUGGAGGAAAACGAGAGUUGAGUUUAAGCCUAGACCAAUCAACAUUGGGUGUGUCCUCUAAAAUCUAGAACGUGUGUGUCAGCAAAGGCGAAGGGGGUGUGGAAAAAGUACAGGAAGUGUUCAAACAAUGGAGAUUCCCAAAGGCAAGAGUAUGUGUUGGGGCAGGGGCCAGGCUGUGGAAAAAUAGGAGAUAAAACACAUCACAAUAGAUUAUAGAGGGCUUUGAAUGCCAAAUUGAGGAAUUUGUAAUUUACUGGAUAGGCAUCGGAGAGCUAUUGGAUAUUUUUGAGUAAUAACUUACAUGAUCAGAAUCUAACUUUACACUGACAAUUCUGUAUUUAAUAACAUGAAAAAAUGCCCGAGAUAAUUUUCACCAAAUAAUUUUAGAUAUAGAAUGAUAAGAACUUUUUUUUUAAUCUCAGGUAUAAAAAAUAAAAAGGCUCAUUUAUUAAAAAGAAAGAACCUGGAAGGGACAUUAUCAAAAUGUUUAAUAGAGAUGGUUUCUGUGGUUGGUAAGACUAUAAAUAGUUUCUUUCUUCUUCUUCUUUCAAUUUCUCUAUAUUUUCUAAUUGUCUUUAACUGAGCAUAACUGAUUUUUAUCGUGAGAAUAAGUUUAAACUAACAACUUGAAUGUGUCUGGGGUUGGAGGAGUUCUUUGGGUGGAGAGAACGGAGGCAGGGAUAUGGGUUAGGUUUAUUGCAGUAGACCAACAGAAAGGGAGGGAGAGGAGGAACCAGGGCAGGGGUCAUGGGAGGAGGAGGGAGGAGGAAAAUAUAUUUUUUGCCUUUGAAUUGGUUACAUAAGGAAGUCUUACCAUGAGCAGGAGUGGUGGUUAAGAGGAUGGACCCUGGAGCCAGGCUGCUGGGGUUUGAAUCUGAACUUGGUCAAUUUCUUGGGCACAUUACUCUGUGUUUUGUUUUGUUUUUACAGUCUGUGAGUAGGAAUAAUAAUAUACCUACAGUAUAAAGUUGUCGUAGGAAGUAAUUAAUUGCAAAUGUAUUAGCCCCUUAGAGCAGCGCUCAGCUCGUGGCAGAUACUUAGUAUAUUAGCUUUAUUCUUGUUACUCCCAGGGACCUGGCCUCAGUGGAAUUGAUGCUGACGAUGGAAAUAGAGUAAGUAUUGGAGUGGAGUAGAGCGACAAAGGCUAUUGAAGCAUUAUUCCUGACAGUUUGAUUUUUUAUAAGAAUAUAUUUGUGGGGGUUUCCUCUGUGGUGGGAAUCCAACGGCAGUGGCUCAGGUGGCUAUGGAAAUGUGGGUUCAAUCCCCUCCCAGCACGGUGGGUUAAAGGAUCGGGCAUUGAUGUAGCUGCCGGUUGGGUCACAGCUGUGGCUCAGAUUCACUCCCUGGCCCAGGCACGUUCAUAUGCCGCAGGUCCAACCAUAAAAAUAUAUAUAUACCUAUAUACAUUUUUACAUUAUACAGUUUUUUAAAUCUUAGGAAAGUUUUUUUGAAACUAGAGUGGGCUCUCUCAGAAAUUGUGAAUUCCCAUCAUUGAAGAAGUUCCCACAAAUGCUGCCUAGAUUAAUUUGGGGCUGGUACAGGACUGUGAUUGCAAACUAGUUUUCAUCAGAGGAGGUACUAGCUUCUUUAUAUAACUAAAUUCAUUCCAUUAAAGGUACUGUCCUUUAUUCUGAGCCCUCUCUGAAGGUUUGAUGUUCAGGUAUUCUUUAUUUUAUGAAAGAUGAUAUAUAUAUAGACUAGGUUUUUUCCCAGAUAACCUUGCUUGACAAAGGUCUUACUUUUUGGCCUCCAAAAUUUUGGGGGAAAUUUUAUUGGUCUUUGAAAUGUAAAUUUCUGGGAACUAGAGUUGUGGGGAAAAUGAAUAAUUUGGUUAGGCUCCCCUUCUGACCCUGAGGGCUGUCAUUUCAGGGCCCAGGCUGGACCCUCUCAUCCCAGUGAGUCAUUCUGCAAAUGUGAACUUUGAGAUGGGGAAUUGGGUAAAGGUGUGAUUGGAUCCACACAGCUCUGCCACUACAACUGUAGGACAGCUCUUCAAAUAAACCCUCCUGGCAGAGAGUCAAACAGCUGUCUCGGGGCCCCUGAGCAAAAGCAUUGAAUUUGUAAGUGGGCAUGAAAGGCUCCUGGGGGCAGGCUCUGCGAGCCCCGUAGGCCCAGGAGGGGUUGUCCAGGUCAGACCAACGAUGGCUUCCACUCAGGGAGCUGAGAGUCUAGUAUCUUUCACAUACGAAAAGACAGUUCCGUUUUCACAACUUCUCAGAGCCUCAAUUUCCUCAUAGAUAACAUGGGAAUGGGAGUAAUAAUAAUACCAUCUAAUAGCUCCGGAGAUGUACUGCUCCCUGCUUCCCUCACCUCUGUCCAGAGCUGGAAGGAAGAAUCAGAGUCUGAACAGAAUGGAUGGAGCGGAGGUUUUUACCUUAAAGAGACAGAAUGGCUUCCAGCCCCGCAAGGCUUAUUGUCAUUGGACCAGAACACUAAGAUAUCUGCCUACUUUUUGAGAAAGGUCCAUGAGCUCUGGGUACUU
RNAcentral lists this long non-coding RNA (4972 nucleotides) under Sus scrofa (pig). RNAcentral's name for it is "lncRNA (ENSSSCG00045009606.1)". Lineage: Eukaryota; Metazoa; Chordata; Mammalia; Artiodactyla; Suidae. The record is from RNAcentral.